RNAcentral lists this ribosomal RNA (512 nucleotides) under uncultured bacterium. RNAcentral describes it as "bacterial SSU rRNA". It matches the Rfam family "Bacterial small subunit ribosomal RNA", at positions 19 to 518 of the family's 1533-position model. The record is from RNAcentral.
AUGGCUCAGGAUGAACGCUAGCUACAGGCUUAACACAUGCAAGUCGAGGGGCAGCAUGGUCUUAGCUUGCUAAGGCUGAUGGCGACCGGCGCACGGGUGAGUAACGCGUAUCCAACCUUCCCCUUAGUAGGGCAUAGCCCGGCGAAAGUCGGAUUAACACCCUAUGUUUUCCGUUGCGGGCAUCUAAUAUGGAACAAAGAUUUAUCGCUAAGGGAUGGGGAUGCGUCUGAUUAGGUAGUAGGCGGGGUAACGGCCCACCUAGCCCUCGAUCAGUAGGGGUUCUGAGAGGAAGGUCCCCCACAUUGGAACUGAGACACGGUCCAAACUCCUACGGGAGGCAGCAGUGAGGAAUAUUGGUCAAUGGCCGAGAGGCUGAACCAGCCAAGUAGCGUGCAAGGGACGACGGCCCUAUGGGUUGCAAACUGCUUUUAUGCGGGGAUAAAGUCGCCCACGUGUGGGUGUUUGCAGGUACCGCAUGAAUAAGGACCGGCUAAUUCCGUGCCAGCAGCCGC